AAAUAUUUGGAUAUAUAAAAAAUAUAUCCAAAGCGGGCACGACGCAAAAGUCUAAAAAAGUUCGGAUCUAUAAAGGGUCUCAGAAGACUGGGAGGAGUAAAAAAAGGUAAAAUUAAAAAAAGAAGGCUUAUCACGGAUCUCUAGGCACUCAAAGGCGAUGAAGGGCGUUUAGACCAACGAAAAUGCUUUGUGGAGUAGGCUAAAAUGCUAGGAUACAAAGAUUCCCGAAUAGGGCAACCUAAUAAACUCUCUUGAGAAUUCAUAAUCAAGACAAGAGCUAACGCACUGAACUGAAACCUCUUAGUAAGUGUAGGAAAAGAAAACAAAAGUGAUUUUUUGAGUAGCGGCGAGCGAAAAAACAGCCUAAACCGAUCUAUAAAUAUCGACAUUAAAGACGAUUUGAAAAAAGCCGUAUUGCAAUUUUAAUUUGUCUAUAUAAAAAAGACAACGUAAGGGCUGCAAAAGGUAAAAAUAGACGGGGUAGUUGGGAUUAGAGAAAAUGAGCAGAAGAAAGACUAGGUUAUUAUUCCACGUGGAAUAAUAAGUCCACGUGGAAUAAGAACGGAAAGAAUUUUGAAUUUUAAAUGAAAUGAAUGAAAAUACAUACCAUAGAUGGUGAUAAGUCCAGUAAUUUAAACAUGCUAAAAAACUAGCGGCCAAAACUUUGUUCUUUGAACAAUCAUGUGGCCGCGACAUGUAUACUAGCAUUUCUGUAAUUCCCGAGUAGCAUGAGACACGUGAAAUCUCGUGUGAAUCAGCGAGGACCACCUCGUAAGGCUAAAUACUCUUGAGUGACCGAUAGCGAAAUAGUACCGUGAGGGAAAGAUGAAAAGCACACCUGAAAAGGAUGAUAUGAAAUAGAACGUGAAAUGGUAAGCUGAUAAGCAGUGGGAGGAAAAAGGAGUAUAAUAUUUCUGACCGCGUGCCUGUUGAAGAAUGUGUCGGCGAGUUCAAUAAAGUGGCUUUUGAUUCAAGUCGAAGCGAAAGCGAGUUUUAAAAAAAAAGCAUAUCUAUGUCACUUUAUUGAGACCCGAACCUGCCUGAUCUAAUCAAGGCCAGGAGGAAUCGCUGGUAAUACAGCUGAGGAAGUCCGAACCGACCAAUGUUGAAAAAUUGCCGGAUGAGCCUUGAUUUGCGAGUUUCUGAAAAGUAGCUCCUUUUAAAAAUUUUAAAAGUACAAAUUAAAAUAAUUGCAAAACAUUACUCACCCGCUUUGCAAUAUAUCAUAUAAAAGAAUAUGGAAAUUUAGCGGCGCAAAAUAAUAAAUAUUAUUUUCAAGUAAAAAAAUUUGCAGCCCAUGGCCCCUGCGUCUCAACGACGCGGGAGCCGUAGGUUCAGAGAUUAUUAAAUUUUAACAUGUAGCAAUUAUUUUUAUGGUUUUGUGUCGGUUGUAUUCAAAUUCAUUUAAAUACGACAUAAACCUAUAUAUUUAAGAUUGACUUACAUGAUGAAAUAAUCCGAUCUUCUUUUUGUAUAUACAAAAAGAAGAACUAUUGGAAAAGCUAAUCGAAGGCAGAGCUAGCUGGUUCUCUCCGAAAUGCGUUUAGGCGCAGCAUAUGGUGAUGGAAUUUUUUUUAGGGUUAAAAGUCAACUAAGACUCAGCCCAAUAAAAUUUAAGAUUUUAUUAAAAUUUAAAUAAAAAAAUUAAAUAGAUUGCAAGAAUCUACGACUUAAAUUUCUAAGUGGUGGGAAUUUGCAGCCUAAUAUGUUCGUCUUUUUUUACCUCCACGCUUUGCAUGGUCCUCUCGCUCGCGAGGGACCAUGCAAAACAGUGGAUAGCGGUUAUACCCUCGGGUAUAACCAGCCAUAGAUCGCUUUUGGGUCGUGCCCGCAUUCGAUAUAUUAAUAAUAUAUCGAAUGCGGGGCCAAAGCCAUAUAUAGGCUUUUGUCCUUGUAUUCGAAAGCUUUUUAAGCUCUCGAAUGAGCGUGAAAUAAAAACAUAUUAAGUUCAGAGACUAAAAAUUAACAUGUGAAUUUAUUUAUCUAAACCAAAAGCAAUAACUAUUUAAUUUGUAACGCAAAAAUUUAGAUAUAUAAAAUACUCUUGAAAAAUAGUCCGAUUGUUUUAAUUAAAAAAUGAACUCAUUAAUCUUGAAUGAGUUUAAAUUAAAACAAUUGAGAGCUCUGAUUUCGUGCGGGCGAUGUGAAUUGUACCAAACGAAAAUAAACUUCGAAUACAAAAAAUACCACCAUAUAGUGGGAGCAAUGAGGAUAAGCGCAUUGCUCGAAAGGAAACAGCCCGAAUCACUAGUUAAGGCCCCUAAAUGAAUUGCUAAGUGUUAAAGGAAGUGGAAGAUCAAGAGAGUCAGAAAGUACGCUCGGAAGCAGCUAUCUUUUAAAGAGGAAGCGUAAAACACACUGACAGAUGCGUCUCAUCGCACCUAAAAUGUAUGGGACUAAGCAAUUUGCCGAAACUGUGAGAGAUUUUUUAGCGAGAUUUUUCGAAUUUAAAAGCUAUAGGCUUUAAAAUUCGAAAAAAUAUGAUACCGCAUCUUUGAUAGUCUUUACUAUCAAAGAUGCGGCAUGUAGAUCCGUUACAAAACGGAACCGUAAAAUGGAAAAAGAGAGAAAAUCGAUAAUAUAUAAUAUAUUAUAGAUUUAUAAAAGCCCAUAAACUAAAAAUUCUAAAUCUCGGUAGGAGAGCGUUGUGCAGUAUAAUACUACUACCGCAGUGAUGUAUAUAAAACUCCUAAAUACCCCGCUCUGUUGUAUUCACCGUAGAGCGGGGAGUAAAGUUUAUCUCUCUAAAGCUCUUACUCGUAAGAGAAAAAAGAUAGGAUAAAGGAGUAGUUAAUGCACAAGUGAUAAUGUCGACUUGAGUAACGAAAAGGGAGGUGAGAAUCCUACUCCCCGAAAAUCCAAGGUUUUCUUUAUUUUAUAUUUAAAAUAGGCUUGUCCAUAAAGAGUUGACAUAAGCUCCAUCUUUAAGUUAAUGCAGCAUAAAUUAAAGAACGAAAAUCAAAAAUUGCGAGAAUCUCCGGCCCCUGGGCCGAGAAAUUCACAUCCUUUUAUUUAUAAAAGGUUCAGAGACUAUUAAACUUUUGCUUCAUAUAUUCAUGAAGAUGAUAAAGUCCUUAUAGUCUAUAAAUAGACUAGUUUUAAGUAGUCAGCACCUAAGAUGAGGUUGAAAAACGUAGUCGAUUGGUAAUCAAGUUAAUAUUCUUGAACUAAACUGGGUUUCUAAAUAUUGUCGAAGAUUUCUCUAUUUCCUUCACUUGCUACUCUCCCUUACCUUGGGAGAGAAAACAAGAAUAGAAAUAAAGAUUUCUUUUGUGAAAUUUACAAAUUUCUCAUAUCAUUCUUUCAAAUAUAUAGGCCUUUGGCCUAUAUAUCGCGUUGCCCUCUCCCUUAUUAUAUUCUAUAUAAGAAGGGGGGAGAGUAAAUAAUAGAAUAUAGGUAAUUUCUAUUAGAUGAUAUAUUAAGAAAUUUUUAAAUACUAGCCGUACCUAACACAGAAGGACGAAAUUACGUGUCACGAAGUAUUUAAUAGGUUUUUCCAGCACGUAAAUCGGAUUAGUUAAAAAAAAUAUUCCGAGUUUUCCAAGAAAACUUCUGAGUGAAAUUUACAGCUCUUCUUUUGGAGAGAUAAUGAUUCAUGUAGAACAGUUUAGCUGUACCCGAAACUGACACAGGUGGAUAAGUAGAGUAUACUAAGGGGUCUAUCUUAUGGCCCGAUCAUGUUAUAAAUACAUGAAAGAUAGUACGCUCGCGUGGCUUGCUAAUCAAAAAAAUUGCAAGAAUUUUAUGAACGAAAUUUUUUAUAAAUUUUAAACUUGCAGCCUUAAAAAUUUUAUUUUUGGUCUUUUUGAAUAGUGGUCUCCUUGCUUGCAAGGAGACCUCUCAAAACGACGAAGCAAGCGAGUCUUUUUGAAUAUCAAAACACGACGACACAAGCUAGUCUUUUAAGAAUUUUUAGCUCCACGCUUUGCAUUAAAAGGCAAAACGGGGCAGUGGAUAUUCAAAAAGACGACACAAGCUGGUCUUUAAGAACUUUUAAGAACUUUUUUUGGAUAUGAAUUUUUUAGGUUUAACGACUAAUAAUUUGACAUCUAAUAGUAUUUUUAUUCAAAACUAAAAAAUUAAUGCCAUAUAUAAACCAAAGGUUUAUCUAUGACAUUAAAUAUUGGGAUAUAUAAAAAUAAAAGAUGAUUACAUAGUCUUAUAAGCAAAUAAAAAGUUUGCAAUAUAUGCGAGAUAACAAUUUUCAAGGAAUUCGGCAAAUUGACUCUGUACCUUCGGAAGAAAGAGUACCAUACUUGAUCAAAAUACUGUCAAGUUGGUCGCAGUGAAAUGGCUUGGGGGACUGUUUAGGUCUGUGUACUUGAACCGUUAUUAUAAAAAAAUUCUUUUUUUAUAAUUUUGUAAAUUAAACUAAAUGCUGGGAAAUAAUUAAAUAUUAAUACUUAAAUAUCUCGUUUAUUAUAUGUUGUAUUUCUCUCUUCACCUGGGGAGAGAAAUAUUUAACUGACUCACUUUACUAAAUAAUAAAUGUUAUAAUAGUUAAAAAUUUAAUAUAUUCUUUAAAUUUUUAAAGAAUUAAAAUAAUCAGCAUCUCCCUUUAUAGGAUGGGAGGUCAAAGACUACAUGUUUAAUAUUUUUAUUAUUAUAAAGCUUUCUUUGAUUCCGUCUUGACGGAAUCAAAGAAAUCGACGCCCUCUGGGCUCGCAAGGCAGCCGGAGGAAAGAAAAAUGGCGGCUUUUUAUAAUAAAAAUAAUGAUAUAGUCUGAGCUUUAAUUGUCUUAACAAGCCGGCGGUUAAAGUAAAUAUCAAUUUAAAUAAAAAUUUAUAAAAUUUUAUCCAAUACUUCUAUUUAUGUUAAAAAAUCCUUUUGUUUUAGCCCAAGAAUUGUUUGAUAUCUUUAUAGCUAAUAUGCUUGGAGACGGUUCUUUAGAUGGUUAUGAAGGCGUUUUUAAAAAAACAGCUCGUUUUAUUUAUGCUCAAACCGCACGAGAUCCAAAUAAGGUUUUAUUUAUGGAACAUAUUUAUAGCAAAUAUCAAUCUCUUACUGCCAAAAGAUUUUCACUUCGUACUGUAAUAGCAGAUGGUAUUGAAUAUCAACAGUAUAGAUUUGAAACUAGAAAAUAUAAAGAGUUUUUCCUUAUUUUAAUAUGUUUUAUUACAAAGAUAAAAAUGGUAAAACAAAAAAUACUUUCUUCAAAUAUUAAAGAUUUUUAAAUGGACGAGUUUUAGCUUAUUGGUUUAUGGAUGAUGGAGGUGCUGCUGAUAUUUCCAAUUCAAGAUCUUUAGAGAUUAGUACUCAUUCUUUUACUUUUGAAGAAACUCUUUAUUUAUGUCGUAUAUUAACCUUCAAAUUUGGGAUUGAGUGUUGGCCUCAAAAAAAUACUAAACCUGGUAAAAUAUAUUAUAGGCUUUAUAUUAGUGGUAGAAGUUUUUCAACCGUUAUGAAAUUAAUGGGUCCUUAUAUUUUUGAAAGCAUGAAGUAUAAAUUACCUAAAUUACCAGAUAGAGAAUCUCCAACAACUACAGUUGGUCAAAUUUUCGAGGGACGUUUUAAUCGUUUGGUAAAUUUUGAUUUAAAGUCUAAAAGGUGGGAAGUAAAAGAAGUAAUAUGGAAGGAUGAAAUUCGUACUCAACUCGUUGAAGAACGAAUUACUUUUAUAAAAAAAAAUGUUGCGUCUUUGUAUUUUGAAAAAUAUUGUAAUAAAUACAAGGAUACUAUUUAAAUUGAUUUAACAAUUACUGACUAAAAACACAGGUCUCCGCAAAGUUGAAUAAACAAUGUAUGGGGGCUGACGCCUGCCCAGUGUCAGUAGGUUAAGUGCGAGGGUGCAAGCUCUCAAUCGAAGCCCUGUAUCAACGGCGGUCCUAACUCUGAGGAUCCUAAGGUUACACAAUCGCUAGCUUUAGUAAAAUAAAACUAUAUGUUGAGACAUUUUUAAAUUAUCUGUACUAUACUAUAAAUAAUUCUAAACUUGACGCUAUAUAUAUAUGCAAGAGCUAUAUAUAUAGACGCGAAAGCUAUAUAUAUAUAUGCAAGAGCUAUAUAUAGACGCGAAAGCUAUUUAUUAUCUUUCUCCGAAACGGAGAGAGAGCCAACCACGUAGAGUGGGGUACUAAAAGUAAAAAUCAUAUAAUAUAAUUAAAAUAAUCAACAGGAAAAAAAAUCCUUAGAGACUUUAUGUAUUCAUUCCACGUUCUUCGGCCUAUGGUUCUUUGAACGAUGGGUCACAGAACGGGGCAUUAACAAAUUUCUUUAUGGAAAUUUUGUAAGAUAAAGUCCAGCUAUUUAUGUGAAUAAAUAGAAAAUCUGAGCGAAAUUCAUUGGCACAUAAUUGGUUGUUAUGACAGCCCUGUAGAAUUUUAUAUUUUAUAUGAAUUAAAUAAAUUGCAAGAACUAAUGAAUUAAAUAAUUCGUUACAAUUUGCAGCAAAAUCAUAGCCCCAUGAAAAUAUGGUACUUUGAAUUGUUCAGAGACUAAAAUUAAAAUUGAUAAUUUAAUUUAUUAGUUAUGACAUAGUUCGUGCUACAAUGAAAAUUGUGGGUUACAUGGUCCUGCACAAAUGGCGUAACCAUCCAAGCACUGUCUCGAAAAUUGACUCGGUGAAAUAGACCUGUCCGUGAAGAUGCGGACUCGACAUAUCUAGACGGAAAGACCCUUGAAGCUUUAUUGCAAUUUGAGAUUGAGUUUAAGUUUUUCUUGCGCAGCCUAGGUGGGAGGCGAUGAUGAUUUUUUUCCGGAAAAAUAGUAGCCAACAGUGAGAGACCACUCUGGAAGAAUUUGAACUCUAAAAGUAUAUUACCAAAUCAUCAGGUUACUCUACAGUCUCAAAUGGGUAAUUUAAAUGGGGAAUUUAUUUUUUAAAAGGUAACAAAAAUGUACAAAGGUUUCCUCAAGCUGGAUGGAAAUCAGCUAUUGAGUGUAAAGGCAGAAGGAAGCUUGACUGCGAGAAUGACACUUCAAGCAGGGACGAAAGUCGGUCUUAGUGAUCCGACAAUUUUGAGUGGAAAAGUUGUCGCUCAUCGGCUAAAAGCUACUCUAGGGAUUAACUAUACUGUAAGUCCCAUAUAGUUGUAACCCGUCGCGCUUUAAAAUUUUUGAUUAAAAUUUUUGAUUAAAAUUUUUGAUUUAAUAGCGCGAGUUUUAAAACUAUUUCCACCCUCCGCUUUCUCUUCACCAACCGUGAAAAGAGAUCGGAGGGGUAGCAACCAAACCUUUUCCCGUUCCGUAUUAUAUACGGAUAAAAGGUGGGAUGGUCAAGUAAAUUGCAAAAAAACAAUCAUGUAAAUUUGCAUCCAAUUCAAAAGGGAUCAACGACUAAGAUACUUGAAAUCUUUAUAAUAAAGAUAAUGACAUAGUCUGAACUUUUAUGCUCUUUUAAAAAAGCGUAAAAGAAUGGCCCACCGUCCUCCGGACGGUGAGCCGAUUAACAAUAUUGAACAGGCUAGUUUUGGUCAAGAGACCUUAUCGACACCAAAGUUCGGCACCUCGUGAUGAAUGGGGUCAGUUAAUAACUGUAAAAAAUAAACUAAAUGCUAAAAAAUUUUUGAAUUACAUAUACUUUUUUUACUGCCCCGCUUUGCAUUUUAAUGCAAAGGGUGGAGCUAAUAUAUUUGAAUAUUAUAUUGUUAAUGUGUUAUUAUAUUUAAUAGCAUGAAAUUUACAAUUCUAUAAAGUAAAACUAUGUUUUCUGUUAAACAUGCGGAACCAAAAUAAUUAGCAUCUAACGCUAUUUUAAUAGCGGGAGAUUAACGACUACACGUUUAUUCUAUAUUCAUAUAGAAUGAUAUAGUCUGAACUUUUAUAUGGGUGGCUCAGCAAAGCCGAUUAUAAAAGAAAAAAAAAUUUAUUAUAUAUUAUAAUAUAUUAAAAUUAAACAUUAUUGCGAUGUCGUCUCGUCCUAGCUUGGUAAACACUUGCCAAUACUACUCUAUAUGAGUAAUAUAUCUAAUAGCUUAAACGAAAGAAAUCUGGAAAAAAAGAAAUAUCCAGACAAUUUCGUACCAAAAUUCGAAUGAAUUAGGUCUAACGACCAUUAUAUAAAGUAAACUUUAUUUACGAUGCCGCAUCUUAUAAUGGGGAAAAAGAAUCCUGCCAUUUAAUGAAAUCCGCCGGCUGCCUCGCGAGCCCAAAGGGCGUCGAUUUCUUUGAUUCUUUUUUUCCCAAGCUUUUUUAAAAAGCGAAGCGCUUUUUUUAAAAGCGAAGCUAUCAAGGUUUUGAUCUGUCUCUCUUCUCUUAAAAAGAGAGACAGAUCAAAACCUUGACUACGAGCAAAGCAAAGUUUAAAUAGCUAAAUCUCCCCCUCCGGGAGAGAUAAGACAUGGUCUAAACUUCAAAGAAACUUGAAGCAGACAAAUUUAAUGUUUGUCGAAAAAAAUCUUAUUUUUUUGAAUCAUUUGAUUGUAGCAGGUACCAAGAGUAAGACUGUUCGUCUUUUAAAAGGGUUGUUCUCACACAGCCCCCUAGAAUCUUAGAUUUUUUGAAAAUUAAAUAAAUUGCAAAGAAGUUUAAAAUAAAGCCAGUUUGCAGCCUUAUUUAUAUGUUCAUUGAUAUAGACAUGGCCCCCGAAAACGGAGGGCCGUGCGGUAAAAAUUUUUGAUAAAUUGACAUAUGAACGAGGUUCAGAGAGUAGAUAUUUAACGUUAUUUUUUUUAGAUUGACGAUUACAUAGUCCAUGGUUCAAUUAAAGUUGGGCGGCACCAUGACGUGAGAUAAAAUUAACCAGUCUCCUUUAGUUAAAAAACUAAAAUACUACCCAGGGUAGCCGUCUUUUUUAAAAGCGAUGGGGAAAAGAAAUCUUCGAUUUCUUUUCCCCCAGCAAAGCGAAGCUAUCAAGGUUUUGAUCUGUAUCUCUUCUCUUAAAAAGAAGAGAUACAGAUCAAAACCUUGAUAACGAGCAAAGCGAAGUUUAUUGCAAAAAAACAUGACCCAGGGUCGAUGUAAAUUUGCAGCCAAUAUAAUAUGACCUCUAAAAUUAUAAUAAAAUACGGGAGGUCGUAUUGGUUCAACGACUAAUAUACCUUUAUUCUUUUUUCAAAGAAAAUGACAUAGUCUGAACUUUUAUGUAAAUAAAAGAAACAAUUUUGGGGUUUAAAACGUCGUGAGACAGUUUGGUCGCUAUCUGAUAUGUCAAAUUGGAAUACAUAGAAGUUUUCUCCCUCGUACGAGAGGAACGGGGCCAACAGGUUUGGUAUUAGCCAAAAGUUAGUCCUUUUGGUGUCUGCAGUGUAUCUUUCUAGCAUGUCCUCGAUAGACUCAUCGUCCUAGGACGGUCUAAAUUUACCAUCCUCUAUAGACCCACCAUUACCAACCGUCCAAAGGACGGUGUUGGCCCACCGUCCAAAAGACGGUGGGCCAUGCAGAGUGGCAUGGCGACAAAAGAUUACUCAGUAAGCCGUGAAAAGUGUCAAUGGUGUACGAGUUAUGGAUUCUUGAAAUCUGUAGUCGCUUGGUAGCUAAACACUUCUCGAUAACCACUGAAGACAUCUUAAAGUGGGAAGCGUCCUUCGAUUUGUAUUCCGGAGACCACUCCAAGACAAGGAAUAUACUAUUAUACCAAAUAUUUGGAUAUAUAAAAAAUAUAUCCAAAGCGGGCACGACGCAAAAGUCUAAAAAAGUUCGGAUCUAUAAAGGGUCUCAGAAGACUGGGAGGAGUAAAAAAAGGUAAAAUUAAAAAAAGAAGGCUUAUCACGGAUCUCUAGGCACUCAAAGGCGAUGAAGGGCGUUUAGACCAACGAAAAUGCUUUGUGGAGUAGGCUAAAAUGCUAGGAUACAAAGAUUCCCGAAUAGGGCAACCUAAUAAACUCUCUUGAGAAUUCAUAAUCAAGACAAGAGCUAACGCACUGAACUGAAACCUCUUAGUAAGUGUAGGAAAAGAAAACAAAAGUGAUUUUUUGAGUAGCGGCGAGCGAAAAAACAGCCUAAACCGAUCUAUAAAUAUCGACAUUAAAGACGAUUUGAAAAAAGCCGUAUUGCAAUUUUAAUUUGUCUAUAUAAAAAAGACAACGUAAGGGCUGCAAAAGGUAAAAAUAGACGGGGUAGUUGGGAUUAGAGAAAAUGAGCAGAAGAAAGACUAGGUUAUUAUUCCACGUGGAAUAAUAAGUCCACGUGGAAUAAGAACGGAAAGAAUUUUGAAUUUUAAAUGAAAUGAAUGAAAAUACAUACCAUAGAUGGUGAUAAGUCCAGUAAUUUAAACAUGCUAAAAAACUAGCGGCCAAAACUUUGUUCUUUGAACAAUCAUGUGGCCGCGACAUGUAUACUAGCAUUUCUGUAAUUCCCGAGUAGCAUGAGACACGUGAAAUCUCGUGUGAAUCAGCGAGGACCACCUCGUAAGGCUAAAUACUCUUGAGUGACCGAUAGCGAAAUAGUACCGUGAGGGAAAGAUGAAAAGCACACCUGAAAAGGAUGAUAUGAAAUAGAACGUGAAAUGGUAAGCUGAUAAGCAGUGGGAGGAAAAAGGAGUAUAAUAUUUCUGACCGCGUGCCUGUUGAAGAAUGUGUCGGCGAGUUCAAUAAAGUGGCUUUUGAUUCAAGUCGAAGCGAAAGCGAGUUUUAAAAAAAAAGCAUAUCUAUGUCACUUUAUUGAGACCCGAACCUGCCUGAUCUAAUCAAGGCCAGGAGGAAUCGCUGGUAAUACAGCUGAGGAAGUCCGAACCGACCAAUGUUGAAAAAUUGCCGGAUGAGCCUUGAUUUGCGAGUUUCUGAAAAGUAGCUCCUUUUAAAAAUUUUAAAAGUACAAAUUAAAAUAAUUAUCUUCUUUUUGUAUAUACAAAAAGAAGAACUAUUGGAAAAGCUAAUCGAAGGCAGAGCUAGCUGGUUCUCUCCGAAAUGCGUUUAGGCGCAGCAUAUGGUGAUGGAAUUUUUUUUAGGGUUAAAAGUCAACUAAGACUCAGCCCAAUAAAAUUUAAGAUUUUAUUAAAAUUUAAAUAAAAAAAUUAAAUAGAUUGCAAGAAUCUACGACUUAAAUUUCUAAGUGGUGGGAAUUUGCAGCCUAAUAUGUUCGUCUUUUUUUACCUCCACGCUUUGCAUGGUCCUCUCGCUCGCGAGGGACCAUGCAAAACAGUGGAUAGCGGUUAUACCCUCGGGUAUAACCAGCCAUAGAUCGCAGUCCGAUUGUUUUAAUUAAAAAAUGAACUCAUUAAUCUUGAAUGAGUUUAAAUUAAAACAAUUGAGAGCUCUGAUUUCGUGCGGGCGAUGUGAAUUGUACCAAACGAAAAUAAACUUCGAAUACAAAAAAUACCACCAUAUAGUGGGAGCAAUGAGGAUAAGCGCAUUGCUCGAAAGGAAACAGCCCGAAUCACUAGUUAAGGCCCCUAAAUGAAUUGCUAAGUGUUAAAGGAAGUGGAAGAUCAAGAGAGUCAGAAAGUACGCUCGGAAGCAGCUAUCUUUUAAAGAGGAAGCGUAAAACACACUGACAGAUGCGUCUCAUCGCACCUAAAAUGUAUGGGACUAAGCAAUUUGCCGAAACUGUGAGAGAUUUUUUAGCGAGAUUUUUCGAAUUUAAAAGCUAUAGGCUUUAAAAUUCGAAAAAAUAUGAUACCGCAUCUUUGAUAGUCUUUACUAUCAAAGAUGCGGCAUGUAGAUCCGUUACAAAACGGAACCGUAAAAUGGAAAAAGAGAGAAAAUCGAUAAUAUAUAAUAUAUUAUAGAUUUAUAAAAGCCCAUAAACUAAAAAUUCUAAAUCUCGGUAGGAGAGCGUUGUGCAGUAUAAUACUACUACCGCAGUGAUGUAUAUAAAACUCCUAAAUACCCCGCUCUGUUGUAUUCACCGUAGAGCGGGGAGUAAAGUUUAUCUCUCUAAAGCUCUUACUCGUAAGAGAAAAAAGAUAGGAUAAAGGAGUAGUUAAUGCACAAGUGAUAAUGUCGACUUGAGUAACGAAAAGGGAGGUGAGAAUCCUACUCCCCGAAAAUCCAAGGUUUUCUUUAUUUUAUAUUUAAAAUAGGCUUGUCCAUAAAGAGUUGACAUAAGCUCCAUCUUUAAGUUAAUGCAGCAUAAAUUAAAGAACGAAAAUCAAAAAUUGCGAGAAUCUCCGGCCCCUGGGCCGAGAAAUUCACAUCCUUUUAUUUAUAAAAGGUUCAGAGACUAUUAAACUUUUGCUUCAUAUAUUCAUGAAGAUGAUAAAGUCCUUAUAGUCUAUAAAUAGACUAGUUUUAAGUAGUCAGCACCUAAGAUGAGGUUGAAAAACGUAGUCGAUUGGUAAUCAAGUUAAUAUUCUUGAACUAAACUGGGUUUCUAAAUAUUGUCGAAGAUUUCUCUAUUUCCUUCACUUGCUACUCUCCCUUACCUUGGGAGAGAAAACAAGAAUAGAAAUAAAGAUUUCUUUUGUGAAAUUUACAAAUUUCUCAUAUCAUUCUUUCAAAUAUAUAGGCCUUUGGCCUAUAUAUCGCGUUGCCCUCUCCCUUAUUAUAUUCUAUAUAAGAAGGGGGGAGAGUAAAUAAUAGAAUAUAGGUAAUUUCUAUUAGAUGAUAUAUUAAGAAAUUUUUAAAUACUAGCCGUACCUAACACAGAAGGACGAAAUUACGUGUCACGAAGUAUUUAAUAGGUUUUUCCAGCACGUAAAUCGGAUUAGUUAAAAAAAAUAUUCCGAGUUUUCCAAGAAAACUUCUGAGUGAAAUUUACAGCUCUUCUUUUGGAGAGAUAAUGAUUCAUGUAGAACAGUUUAGCUGUACCCGAAACUGACACAGGUGGAUAAGUAGAGUAUACUAAGGGGUCUAUCUUAUGGCCCGAUCAUGUUAUAAAUACAUGAAAGAUAGUACGCUCGCGUGGCUUGCUAAUCAAAAAAAUUGCAAGAAUUUUAUGAACGAAAUUUUUUAUAAAUUUUAAACUUGCAGCCUUAAAAAUUUUAUUUUUGGUCUUUUUGAAUAGUGGUCUCCUUGCUUGCAAGGAGACCUCUCAAAACGACGAAGCAAGCGAGUCUUUUUGAAUAUCAAAACACGACGACACAAGCUAGUCUUUUAAGAAUUUUUAGCUCCACGCUUUGCAUUAAAAGGCAAAACGGGGCAGUGGAUAUUCAAAAAGACGACACAAGCUGGUCUUUAAGAACUUUUAAGAACUUUUUUUGGAUAUGAAUUUUUUAGGUUUAACGACUAAUAAUUUGACAUCUAAUAGUAUUUUUAUUCAAAACUAAAAAAUUAAUGCCAUAUAUAAACCAAAGGUUUAUCUAUGACAUUAAAUAUUGGGAUAUAUAAAAAUAAAAGAUGAUUACAUAGUCUUAUAAGCAAAUAAAAAGUUUGCAAUAUAUGCGAGAUAACAAUUUUCAAGGAAUUCGGCAAAUUGACUCUGUACCUUCGGAAGAAAGAGUACCAUACUUGAUCAAAAUACUGUCAAGUUGGUCGCAGUGAAAUGGCUUGGGGGACUGUUUUGACUAAAAACACAGGUCUCCGCAAAGUUGAAUAAACAAUGUAUGGGGGCUGACGCCUGCCCAGUGUCAGUAGGUUAAGUGCGAGGGUGCAAGCUCUCAAUCGAAGCCCUGUAUCAACGGCGGUCCUAACUCUGAGGAUCCUAAGGUUACACAAUCGCUAGCUUUAGUAAAAUAAAACUAUAUGUUGAGACAUUUUUAAAUUAUCUGUACUAUACUAUAAAUAAUUCUAAACUUGACGCUAGCUAUUUAUGUGAAUAAAUAGAAAAUCUGAGCGAAAUUCAUUGGCACAUAAUUGGUUGUUAUGACAGCCCUGUAGAAUUUUAUAUUUUAUAUGAAUUAAAUAAAUUGCAAGAACUAAUGAAUUAAAUAAUUCGUUACAAUUUGCAGCAAAAUCAUAGCCCCAUGAAAAUAUGGUACUUUGAAUUGUUCAGAGACUAAAAUUAAAAUUGAUAAUUUAAUUUAUUAGUUAUGACAUAGUUCGUGCUACAAUGAAAAUUGUGGGUUACAUGGUCCUGCACAAAUGGCGUAACCAUCCAAGCACUGUCUCGAAAAUUGACUCGGUGAAAUAGACCUGUCCGUGAAGAUGCGGACUCGACAUAUCUAGACGGAAAGACCCUUGAAGCUUUAUUGCAAUUUGAGAUUGAGUUUAAGUUUUUCUUGCGCAGCCUAGGUGGGAGGCGAUGAUGAUUUUUUUCCGGAAAAAUAGUAGCCAACAGUGAGAGACCACUCUGGAAGAAUUUGAACUCUAAAAGUAUAUUACCAAAUCAUCAGGUUACUCUACAGUCUCAAAUGGGUAAUUUAAAUGGGGAAUUUAUUUUUUAAAAGGUAACAAAAAUGUACAAAGGUUUCCUCAAGCUGGAUGGAAAUCAGCUAUUGAGUGUAAAGGCAGAAGGAAGCUUGACUGCGAGAAUGACACUUCAAGCAGGGACGAAAGUCGGUCUUAGUGAUCCGACAAUUUUGAGUGGAAAAGUUGUCGCUCAUCGGCUAAAAGCUACUCUAGGGAUUAACUAUACUGUAAGUCCCAUAUAGUUGUAACCCGUCGCGCUUUAAAAUUUUUGAUUAAAAUUUUUGAUUAAAAUUUUUGAUUUAAUAGCGCGAGUUUUAAAACUAUUUCCACCCUCCGCUUUCUCUUCACCAACCGUGAAAAGAGAUCGGAGGGGUAGCAACCAAACCUUUUCCCGUUCCGUAUUAUAUACGGAUAAAAGGUGGGAUGGUCAAGUAAAUUGCAAAAAAACAAUCAUGUAAAUUUGCAUCCAAUUCAAAAGGGAUCAACGACUAAGAUACUUGAAAUCUUUAUAAUAAAGAUAAUGACAUAGUCUGAACUUUUAUGCUCUUUUAAAAAAGCGUAAAAGAAUGGCCCACCGUCCUCCGGACGGUGAGCCGAUUAACAAUAUUGAACAGGCUAGUUUUGGUCAAGAGACCUUAUCGACACCAAAGUUCGGCACCUCGAUGUCGUCUCGUCCUAGCUUGGUAAACACUUGCCAAUACUACUCUAUAUGAGUAAUAUAUCUAAUAGCUUAAACGAAAGAAAUCUGGAAAAAAAGAAAUAUCCAGACAAUUUCGUACCAAAAUUCGAAUGAAUUAGGUCUAACGACCAUUAUAUAAAGUAAACUUUAUUUACGAUGCCGCAUCUUAUAAUGGGGAAAAAGAAUCCUGCCAUUUAAUGAAAUCCGCCGGCUGCCUCGCGAGCCCAAAGGGCGUCGAUUUCUUUGAUUCUUUUUUUCCCAAGCUUUUUUAAAAAGCGAAGCGCUUUUUUUAAAAGCGAAGCUAUCAAGGUUUUGAUCUGUCUCUCUUCUCUUAAAAAGAGAGACAGAUCAAAACCUUGACUACGAGCAAAGCAAAGUUUAAAUAGCUAAAUCUCCCCCUCCGGGAGAGAUAAGACAUGGUCUAAACUUCAAAGAAACUUGAAGCAGACAAAUUUAAUGUUUGUCGAAAAAAAUCUUAUUUUUUUGAAUCAUUUGAUUGUAGCAGGUACCAAGAGUAAGACUGUUCGUCUUUUAAAAGGGUACGUGAGAUAAAAUUAACCAGUCUCCUUUAGUUAAAAAACUAAAAUACUACCCAGGGUAGCCGUCUUUUUUAAAAGCGAUGGGGAAAAGAAAUCUUCGAUUUCUUUUCCCCCAGCAAAGCGAAGCUAUCAAGGUUUUGAUCUGUAUCUCUUCUCUUAAAAAGAAGAGAUACAGAUCAAAACCUUGAUAACGAGCAAAGCGAAGUUUAGAACUUUUAUGUAAAUAAAAGAAACAAUUUUGGGGUUUAAAACGUCGUGAGACAGUUUGGUCGCUAUCUGAUAUGUCAAAUUGGAAUACAUAGAAGUUUUCUCCCUCGUACGAGAGGAACGGGGCCAACAGGUUUGGUAUUAGCCAAAAGUUAGUCCUUUUGGUGUCUGCAGUGUAUCUUUCUAGCAUGUCCUCGAUAGACUCAUCGUCCUAGGACGGUCUAAAUUUACCAUCCUCUAUAGACCCACCAUUACCAACCGUCCAAAGGACGGUGUUGGCCCACCGUCCAAAAGACGGUGGGCCAUGCAGAGUGGCAUGGCGACAAAAGAUUACUCAGUAAGCCGUGAAAAGUGUCAAUGGUGUACGAGUUAUGGAUUCUUGAAAUCUGUAGUCGCUUGGUAGCUAAACACUUCUCGAUAACCACUGAAGACAUCUUAAAGUGGGAAGCGUCCUUCGAUUUGUAUUCCGGAGACCACUCCAAGACAAGGAAUAUACUAUUAUACC
This 16036-nucleotide ribosomal RNA is filed under the name Trentepohlia odorata. RNAcentral describes it as "23S ribosomal RNA". The stretch from base 9627 to 14382 matches the Rfam family "Bacterial large subunit ribosomal RNA". The record is from RNAcentral. Lineage: Eukaryota; Viridiplantae; Chlorophyta; Ulvophyceae; Trentepohliales; Trentepohliaceae.